GCGCGGCGGGCGGAGGGCGCACGGUCGGGAGGGGGCCCCGUGGGGCUGGGGUGGCGCGGCGGGCGCCACUCACCUGACCGGGAUGCGGCGGCGGCGGGCGACGGAACCGGGAGCUGCGGCCCUCCCCACCCCCUGGCUUCAAGUUUGCCAGGAGGACGCCUGGAAUGUGCGGAAUGAAGGCUGGGAACCAGGAAGCAGGAACUCUCAGCUCGACUCCCAGAUCCGCCACUGGUGCCCCCACGCUGGUCCUCUCCUUUCAGUUGUCUUCUGGUGUCCCUCAGGAUCCGCAAAGCUGUCAUUAGGAAGAAUAAAGCAUGUGGGAGAAAGCAGUCAGUGUGAGAUCCGUGCGGUAUGGCAAGAGACUCGUUCUGGGCUCAGUAGUAGUAAGUCGAUAAAGAUUUAUCCAGUAUGUACUAUGUGCCCACUAGUAAAAACAGGAAGGACAGGACCUCAGCCCCUACCCUCAAAGAGCUUAUAAUUUAGCUGGGAAGACUAAAGGUACAGAAAAGUGUGUUCAUUUAGUGGGUGUCUGGAUCUUAACCAUGCCAAAUUAAUUUAGGGGAAGAGGGAUAUAGGAAACACAUGGACUCCUGUGUGGAAAUCUUCAGAACAAAUUGACUUAAAGAUAGCUCUGUCAGCCACCUUGUGGCUUUGGGAGACUUGAAACCAGAGGACUUGGCUUUUUUUUUUCAAAAAUCAAAUCCAACCUCUAGAGUGAUAUCGUUGAACCUUGUAUUGAAGAUAUUGUCCAGAUCUCUUCUCCCUUGCCAAAUAGUAAAUUUAUGUCUGAUUUAUCUUGUUUUUCUUUUUUUUUUUAAACUAGGGAUUGAAUUGAUCAUAGGCUACCUACCUUUGUCAAUGCAGCUCCACAGAACUUAUCCUUCAAGAGAUGAAGGAUAAGGAGGCACUUUACCAUUGACCUAUAUUGCCAAACCUUUUUCCUUUGUAUUUUGAGACAAAGUCUCAUGAAGUUACUUAGGGACUUGCUAACUUGAUGAGGCUUGCCUGAAACUUGCAUCCUCCCACCUCAGCCUCCUGAGUCUCCGGAAUUACAGGCAUGUGCCACCACACUGGGCCUGAUUUAUCUUAUUUUUGACCCAGCACCAACAUGGUGCCUAGGUUAGAAAAGUGCAUAAUACAUACAUAUAUUGGUACCAGGGAUUGAACCCAAGGGCGCUUAACCACUGAGCCACGUCACACCACUAGCCCUUUUUAUUUUUUUAUUUUAAAACAGGGUUUCUCUAGAUUGCUUACAGCUUCACCAAGUUGCUGAGGCUGGCUUUGAACCUGCCAUCCUCCUGCCUCAGCUUUCUGAGCCAUGCUAUUACAGAUUUGCACCACCACACCCAGCUGAAAAGUACAUAAUAAAUGUUGAAUGAAAAAAAAAAAAUUGCUACCAUGGAAGAUACUGAAAAGAUGUACUAUUAAAUGUCAGAGUUGUAUCCAAGAGGUGUUCCAAAAGUCCAGACAAUGCAGCUAGACUGUCUCCAAUCUUCCAAGGCAAAGAAGAGUGAGGAAGCAGCUGUCAUUUGGAUAUAUAAAUGCUUGUUAAAUAAUGAGUCAUAUCAAGGCUUGGUCACACCUCAUACACCUGAAAAGACCACAACACAAGGCAAUAUAUCAGCCCCACGUGGAGUACAAACUGUAAGGACUACUUAAUUCAAUAAUACUGUGUUGAGUGACUAUUGACUUUGACACCAAGCUAAGUGCAGGAAUAAGUCCCUGCCCUCAACAAGUUCAGAGUCUAGGUGAGAAGAUAAUGAUUAUGCAAAAUUCAAUGGUAACUCAAGGAAAGGAACAAUGAAAUCCAAGUUACAGGGUGGCAUUUGCUUCAUCUCUUGAAGGAUAAAGCCAAAUUGAGACUGGUGUGGAGCAGCAUGGACAAAUGUCGGCACGUGCAGGCUGUUUAGCAAAGGUGUGUGAGCAGGAGAAUGAGAUGUGAAGACUGCAGUUAAAAAGGGGGAGCUGGGGGCCGGGGUUGUGGCUCAGUGGUAGAGCACUCGCCUAGCAUGUGUGAGGCCCUGGGUUCAAUCCUCAGCACCACAUGAAAAUAAAUAAAUAAAAUAAAGGUAUUGUGUCCAACCACAACUAAAAAAAUAUUAAAAAAAAAAAAGUGGGAGCCAGGUUGGGAAGAUAGUUGUAUGGAGUUUUGGCCAUCAUAAAAGCCAUAAAGUGCCAGGCACAGUGGCACUUGCCUGUAAUCCCAGCAGCUCCCAAGGCUGAGGCAGAAGGAUCAAGGUUCAAGGCCAGCCUGGGCAAUUUAGUGAGACCCUAUCUGAAAAUAAAUAAAUAAAUAAAUAAAAAGGGCUAGAGAUAUAGCUUGUGGUAGAGCGCCCCUAGAUUCAAUCCCCAGUAUCCUAACAAUAGCAAAGCCACUUGGACACAGUUGUGACAUAUUCAGCGCAACUAUCAAGAGACUCUGGCAAUAGUCUUGCGGGUGAUUCAGAGACUUAGGGUGUCCUAAGCUCAAGGAGUGGUCCUGAAGAUGGCAAGUCUGAGUCCAGCCUCAGCAACUUAAUUAAGGAUCUGGAAGCAGACCAGAGGCAAAAUCAGCUGAAACUGUUGCUUAGAGUUUGUCUGUGAAGGUGAGAGAGAAAAUAAAAAUGGGCUAAACCUUAACAAGGGAGCAAUGGAUGGUGUCAUUACUGAGAUAAGAAUUCAAACAGCAAGGGAUUCAGGUGAGGUGGAAGGUGAGUCCUAGCCAGAUUGAGAGGAAGGUAGGACAGGGCAGAGUAGAAACAGGAGAGCCACCCUUGGGAGUCACAUUCAGCACAGACUGUUCAGAGGGAACUUGAAGUUCAAUCUGUUUUCUUUCUUUCCCCCAAAUUUUAACUAUCCAAAACCAAGACUGUCAGUGGCCAAAGCUGGAAAGCUAGGUCUUUUAGGAUUUUGGCUUCCUAGCCUCACCUUCCCUCAUAGACUUACCUCCUAAUAGAGAGUCUUUGGGAAUUUCACACCUGAAGCAGUUGAGGAUCCUCUGAGUAAAGAAAGAAAACGGAUCAGAUACGCCUAUUCUGAAGGGUUAAAGACUGACAGUGAUUUUAGACACAGAACCUGUCCUUCCCAGGGUAGUCCCACUUUUUAAGGGAUCACCCCCUCACUCACUGAUCCCUAGGAAUCAAUCUAUUGAUGGAAAUAUUUCAUCAGUUUGCAUCAAGCUGGAAGAGACACAAAAAUGCAUCAUGUAAUCCACAACUCUCCUCACUUCCUGGUGAUCCAGACCACUCUAAUUCUACAAAUGGAUCUUCAAUCAAGCUUGCUGAUGGGUGGUGCAGGUGGAGAGCAGCAGGGGUGUGGUGAGAGCUGGUUUUGAUGUGGGGAGGGUAUUUGUGUCGGUUAUAGGCUGAAGUCAAAGUUAAAAAUCAUAUUAAUCACUGUUA
Molecule: long non-coding RNA, 3380 nt
Organism: Marmota monax (woodchuck)
Lineage: Eukaryota; Metazoa; Chordata; Mammalia; Rodentia; Sciuridae
Exons: 2
Source: RefSeq, a predicted model, not a curated record